This 395-nucleotide ribosomal RNA is filed under the name uncultured bacterium. Its description in RNAcentral is "partial 16S ribosomal RNA". It matches the Rfam family "Bacterial small subunit ribosomal RNA", at positions 523 to 918 of the family's 1533-position model. The record is from RNAcentral.
AUACGUAGGGCGCAAGCGUUAAUCGGAAUUACUGGGCGUAAAGCGUGCGCAGGCGGUUUUGUAAGACAGAGGUGAAAUCCCCGGGCUCAACCUGGGAACUGCCUUUGUGACUGCAAGGCUAGAGUACGGCAGAGGGGGAUGGAAUUCCGCGUGUAGCAGUGAAAUGCGUAGAUAUGCGGAGGAACACCGAUGGCGAAGGCAAUCCCCUGGGCCUGUACUGACGCUCAUGCACGAAAGCGUGGGGAGCAAACAGGAUUAGAUACCCUGGUAGUCCACGCCCUAAACGAUGUCAACUGGUUGUUGGGUCUUCAUUGACUCAGUAACGAAGCUAACGCAUGAAGUUGACCGCCUGGGGAGUACGGCCGCAAGGUUGAAACUCAAAUGAAUUGACGGGG